CCCACAAAUAUAAAAAAUAGAAAAAGCAGAUAUAAUAAAAUCCAAGAAAGAAUGAGAGGGAGAGAGGAAUUGAACCUUACUAAUAAAACUUAUUAUUAUAGCAAAUAUAAAUGACAGAUACUGUGUAAGCAACACAAUAUUGCUUAUUCUAAUCUUAACUUCAAGUCAAAGCAUGCAAGCAAGAUUAUUGAAGGUUACAUAGAUGCUCCUUCUCUUAUUUUUUAAGUGCAUAAAUGCAUAUUAGUAUCCAUUCAUAAUAACCCUUACAUAACUCUUCUUCAUCCCAGGUACUUCCUUGUAUUCUUUACUAUCAACUACGCUGCUGGCGCUACAUCAACCCCACUAUCAUCAUCGUCGUCAUCAUCAUCAUUUUCAUUCCGAUGGUUGCGGAAUUCGGUUGUAGACAAGUCAUUGCCCAUGGCAAACAUGGGCAGACCAGAAUCCAUGCAACAAAGUACCACCAUUGCAGCUAGUACUUUUGACAGAAUACUACAAAUUGUAUUGGUUGCAACUUUUAACUACCUUGUUGAUU
This 532-nucleotide long non-coding RNA is filed under the name Lupinus angustifolius (narrow-leaved blue lupine). RNAcentral describes it as "long non-coding RNA (LANG_LNC000376)". Lineage: Eukaryota; Viridiplantae; Streptophyta; Magnoliopsida; Fabales; Fabaceae. The record is from RNAcentral.